Arachis duranensis is the source of this 522-nucleotide long non-coding RNA. RefSeq lists it as uncharacterized. The transcript is spliced from 3 exons. NCBI's taxonomy places the organism in Eukaryota, Viridiplantae, Streptophyta, Magnoliopsida, Fabales, Fabaceae. The record is from RefSeq and is a predicted model, not a curated record.
UGGAAGAGGCAUGAAUUCAAUUAGCAGCUUGUGUUGAAAUGAUAAAUGAAAGUAUUACUGCAUUUUCACUCCAUUUUCUCCUUGUGUUGCUGCAGUCAAGGAUGUGGUCUUGAAAUUGAACCUGCUUCUCACAAAAGAACAAGCUAUUGGUUUCCGUUGCUGCUGGAGUCAAGCUCCAUGAUCUUCAGGUUUCUCAAUGCAUUAGUUGGUUUUGGACUAUUUGACAGAGAAUUCCUUGUGGUUGGGAGCUGAGUUGAAAUUGGAAUUCCCAUGCUAAUACUGUUUAUAGCCUUAUCUCAGAGAUUGGAUCAGGAGAUUGAGAUUCCAUCACCAAAAGAGUUAGGAAGUAGAUUUUUUGGAGCAAGCAACAAGGAAGCAUGACCUUGUUUGAUAUGUUUAGACGUAUAUUAAGGAGUAUAUUAAGGAUUAUAUGUUAAGACAUAUUAUUAAAAAAUGUUACUUUGAUACUUUAUUUUUGGAUUAUGACUUUUGGAUCAUGUAUGAAUAAAAAAUCAUGUUAUG